Equus asinus (donkey) is the source of this 84-nucleotide microRNA precursor. Ensembl annotates it as microRNA 501. NCBI's taxonomy places the organism in Eukaryota, Metazoa, Chordata, Mammalia, Perissodactyla, Equidae. The record is from Ensembl.
GCUCUCCCUCUCUCAUCCUUCGUCCCUGGGUGAGAGUGCUUUCCGAAUGCAAUGCACCUGGGCAAGGAUUCCAGAGGGCGAGGC